UACGACUUAAAAUCCGUCGAUUUUUAAAAUCGUGAGGGUUCAAGUCCCUCUAUCCCCC
RNAcentral lists this transfer RNA (58 nucleotides) under Orobanche cicerbitae. RNAcentral's name for it is "partial tRNA-Leu". The record is from RNAcentral. Lineage: Eukaryota; Viridiplantae; Streptophyta; Magnoliopsida; Lamiales; Orobanchaceae.